UAUUAUUUUUCUUGUAGAUUAGAAUAAGUCGGAGUAGUAAGAGGUUAGUCUUGAAACUCAAAGAAUUUGGCGGUGUUGUAGUCCUUUCAGAGGAAUCUGUUCUGUAAUCGAUAAUACACGAAUUGUUAUACUUUAUCUAUUGGUUUAUAUAUCGCUGUCAUAAGAUUAUUUUAUGGAGAUUUUUAAGUUUCUUAAUUUUAUAUUGAAAAAUAUGUCAAGUCAAGGUGUAGCUUAUGAUAAAGAAGAAAUGGAUUACAAUGGAUUUAUUCAUAUGGAUAUAAUGGUAAGGAUUUAUUGAAGGUGGAUUUGAUUGUAAAUUAUUGUUAG
RNAcentral lists this ribosomal RNA (327 nucleotides) under Paragryllus martinii. RNAcentral describes it as "partial 12S ribosomal RNA". The record is from RNAcentral. Lineage: Eukaryota; Metazoa; Arthropoda; Insecta; Orthoptera; Phalangopsidae.